This 369-nucleotide long non-coding RNA is filed under the name Nicotiana benthamiana. RNAcentral's name for it is "long non-coding RNA (NBEN_LNC002153)". The record is from RNAcentral. Lineage: Eukaryota; Viridiplantae; Streptophyta; Magnoliopsida; Solanales; Solanaceae.
UCAAAGUAAGACUCUUCUAUAAGAUAGACAUUCACUCUAAUUAGAGUUCUAUUUAUAACAAGGUUCAUAUAUUUUAUUUUUUUAAUUUUAAUAAAUUUUUAUAUACAAAUUCUUAUUUUAUAGGUUCAGUUGAACUUAUAAGUGAUACGGUAUAUGCACCUUUUAAUGAUCAAAAGAGUACUAUAAUAAUGUAUGUAAUGAGAUAACACCAACCUUCUCACAAUAAUUUUUUAUCAAACUUAAUCAUAUUAAGCUAAAAUAUAUUUUUGUAAAUACUACUGUAUUUUCUCCAUAAACCUAAAAGUAGUGUCUUUUUUUUAAGGAGUCAAAUCCCGAUUAAAAAAAAAGUUGAUUUGCAUACUCUUAAAU